GGUAAAGUGGCUGAAGUUUAGGUGAUAGAUUGUAAAUCUAUAUAUGAAAUUAUUUUCCUUUACCA
Molecule: transfer RNA, 65 nt
Filed under: Ephemera serica
Lineage: Eukaryota; Metazoa; Arthropoda; Insecta; Ephemeroptera; Ephemeridae
Description: tRNA-Tyr
Rfam family: tRNA
About the family: Transfer RNA (tRNA) molecules are approximately 80 nucleotides in length.
Source: RNAcentral